UAUUAACUUAUGGAUAUUGGUGUCUCCUAGAUUUGUUAGGUGUCGCUUGGGAUCCUACAAAUCUUGUGGAGUUAAACUAAGAAGUUUGUGCGGGCAAGGAGAUCACCUACUUCCUAAUGAUCUAUCUCGAGUCAGGGUAGUCAUUCGUGGACGUAAGCCAUGAUUGAAUAAACAAGGUUGCUUCUUUAUGGACCCUUAAUGGGUGGAGCCCUCCACCUCCCUCCCUCCCUCUCUCCCUCGCCAUCUCUCCAUAUCCAUCUCCAUCUC
This 267-nucleotide long non-coding RNA is filed under the name Hordeum vulgare. RNAcentral's name for it is "long non-coding RNA (HVUL_LNC012339)". Lineage: Eukaryota; Viridiplantae; Streptophyta; Magnoliopsida; Poales; Poaceae. The record is from RNAcentral.